AACGAACGCUGGCGGCAUGCCUAACACAUGCAAGUCGAACGAGACCUUCGGGUCUAGUGGCGCACGGGUGCGUAACGCGUGGGAAUCUGCCCUUGGGUUCGGAAUAACUCGCCGAAAGGCGUGCUAAUACCGGAUGAUGUCGUAAGACCAAAGAUUUAUCGCCCAAGGAUGAGCCCGCGUAAGAUUAGGUAGUUGGUGAGGUAAAGGCUCACCAAGCCGACGAUCUUUAGCUGGUCUGAGAGGAUGAUCAGCCACACUGGGACUGAGACACGGCCCAGACUCCUACGGGAGGCAGCAGUGGGGAAUAUUGGACAAUGGGCGAAGGCCUGAUCCAGCAAUGCCGCGUGAGUGAUGAAGGCCUUAGGGUUGUAAAGCUCUUUUACCCGGGAUGAUAAUGACAGUACCGGGAGAAUAAGCCCCGGCUAACUCCGUGCCAGCAGCCGCCGCCG
RNAcentral lists this ribosomal RNA (449 nucleotides) under uncultured bacterium. RNAcentral describes it as "partial 16S ribosomal RNA". It matches the Rfam family "Bacterial small subunit ribosomal RNA", at positions 29 to 523 of the family's 1533-position model. The record is from RNAcentral.